RNAcentral lists this long non-coding RNA (222 nucleotides) under Rhagoletis pomonella (apple maggot). Its description in RNAcentral is "uncharacterized LOC118753388". The record is from RNAcentral. Lineage: Eukaryota; Metazoa; Arthropoda; Insecta; Diptera; Tephritidae.
CCCAAAAAAUCGACGGAAGAAUUCCGGAAAGAGAACACAAAAAUAAAGUGAAAUACUUUAUCUUUAAUUUUAGGACCAGCAUCUUUGCUUGUUAAUCAUUUACUGGUACAAUAUUUAAAUACCAGCUUUGAGAUUAUGGAGAGCAGUGGAGCUGUUGGUCGCCGUCGAUGCAAUUCACGCAUAAAUGCUGAAGAUCAGGCAUUGGAUCAAAUUGCAAAAGAG